AUUUUACCAGCUACACCCACACCCUCAAUUCUACUUGAAAUUAAUCUUAAAGAAAUUUUGAAUUUGCUGAUAAUUUGAGAUCAGUAAAGAUUUUCCCUGAAAGUUCUAAGCGUGUGUGCUGAGUUGGAAGGGCUGCAGAAGUGGGUCACGCUCACCCAACUGGAACUCGAAAGACUCAUAGAGAGCAAGCACUGGACAAUGGCCUGGUGUCCAUGAUGUAUCCCUGCCUGUCGUUACUAAUCCUACUCAGGGCCAAGCUGGAGAGAAAUAGUCCUUUCAGCCACAAGUCUUAAUAGUUUGUGUGAGUGUUAAUCUGCUUCUCAUAGAGUCACCAUGAAACACACCUUAGACAGAAUAAUACAAAGCUUUAACGAAGACCGCAGAAGAACUUCAUAUCUGAGUACCAUUUGCAAUCGAUUUACAAAUAAUGCCAGCAUCCUUAGCGACUUCUUCAGGCAAGGUUAUACUGGGGGUUUUUGAGGCUAAGCAGGUGAACUGGGAGUACCGCACACAGCAUGGCUUCCAGCCUGAAGUGACUGUAAAAUGCCAGUGAAUAGAGAGGCUCAAGGCUGAGUAAAGGAUCCUGCACACUCAACAGGCUCAUCCUUCUCUGCACCCGAGUUGUUCAUAGAGUCCCAGUUACAGAGCUUUCAGAAGGCGGAAUUCGUCCACAGCACACUAUUGAUGCCUAUCGAAUCUAAGGAAAUUAACUAAGAAGGGAAGAAAUAAUCUUCAUAGAAAAGGGAUUUGAGAACCCAGAAGAGGGUAUGGGCCUGGCAGUGUGCAUGCUGCAAACUAUGCACCAUCACUGGCCUAAAACGCACCUCUGUGUGCAUCAUUUACUCACGUUUAAAAAUCACCCUCUACUUGUUCUCCUGUGACCCUCAUUGGACUAUAUCCAGACAGCACUGAAAGUGAUAGCCAGAAAAAGUAGAAACAACCCAUGUGUUCAUCCACUGACGAAUGGAUCAAAACAUGUGGCGUGUCCAUCCAUACAAGGGGAUAUUACCCAGCAGUCAAAAGGAGCAAAGAACUGAUGUAUACCACACCAUGGCUGAUUCUCAACAGUAUGUUCAGUGAAAGAAACCAGUCAC
Molecule: long non-coding RNA, 1094 nt
Filed under: Homo sapiens (human)
Lineage: Eukaryota; Metazoa; Chordata; Mammalia; Primates; Hominidae
Description: novel transcript
Source: RNAcentral